GAGAAUGAACUGACUGAGGGGGCAGGGACUGUUGAAUGACCCUCUCUGAGCUUGGCUCAACUGGACACAGAUCAAUGAAAAGGAGAAUCAUUGAAGGGAAGCAUAAAAUGUGCAAGUUAUGUGCAGACCUUCCAUGCACAUUGUCCACAAAUAAAAAGAUCAAAGAAUUCCUAUGAAACAUCACUGCAUUUGUAACAGUCCAAGGAAGAUCUAAUCCUGGAGAAUGCUGUUCAAAUAAUCCAAGAAGCAGAAACCAUAGACAGAUGUUAAAGUGAAAAGUCUCCGCUCUCUUCUCCUUUGACCAGUUCCACUUCUGUGAAGUACAUUGGAAGUUUGCUUACCUGUUUCAUUCUCGGGAGGAGGGUGUCACUAGCUAGAUCAGCAUUUAUUGUCCAUCCCAGAGAGCAGUUAAGAGUCAACAACCUUGCUGUGGGGCUGAAGUCACACGUAGU
Chiloscyllium plagiosum (whitespotted bambooshark) is the source of this 452-nucleotide non-coding RNA. Lineage: Eukaryota; Metazoa; Chordata; Chondrichthyes; Orectolobiformes; Hemiscylliidae. The record is from RefSeq and is a predicted model, not a curated record.